This 57-nucleotide transfer RNA is filed under the name Cyphellophora europaea CBS 101466. It matches the Rfam family "tRNA", at positions 8 to 63 of the family's 71-position model. Rfam says of the family: Transfer RNA (tRNA) molecules are approximately 80 nucleotides in length. Their secondary structure includes four short double-helical elements and three loops (D, anti-codon, and T loops). The record is from Rfam by way of RNAcentral. Lineage: Eukaryota; Fungi; Ascomycota; Eurotiomycetes; Chaetothyriales; Cyphellophoraceae.
UGGCUAAGUGGUAUAGCGUCUCACUAGUAAUGAGAAGAUCACUGGUUCGAUUCCAGU